This 254-nucleotide ribosomal RNA is filed under the name uncultured bacterium. Its description in RNAcentral is "partial 16S ribosomal RNA". It matches the Rfam family "Bacterial small subunit ribosomal RNA", at positions 524 to 776 of the family's 1533-position model. The record is from RNAcentral.
UACGUAGGGAGCAAGCGUUGUUCGGAUUUACUGGGCGUAAAGGGCGCGUAGGCGGCUUAUUAAGUCAUCUGUGAAAUCUCCGAGCUUAACUCGGAACUGUCAGCUGAUACUGAUGUGCUAGAGUGCGGAAGGGGCAAUCGGAAUUCUUGGUGUAGCGGUGAAAUGCGUAGAUAUCAAGAGGAACACCUGAGGUGAAGACGGGUUGCUGGGCCGACACUGACGCUGAGUGCGCGAAAGCCAGGGGAGCAAACAGG